AAGGAUCAUUAUUGAAAUUACUUUGGUAAAUCAUCUUAUGAUUAAUCACCCUGAUGUCGACCUAUAUGUUGCUUCCGCCUUGCUAUUGCUGCUGGUGGAAGGCUAUUAACAAUCUAAAUCAUGUAGUAUAUGUUUUUCUGAAAUGAUUUUAUAAUAAAUUAAAACUUUCAACAACGGAUCUCUUGGUUCCU
This 191-nucleotide unclassified non-coding RNA is filed under the name uncultured fungus. Its description in RNAcentral is "partial contains 18S rRNA, ITS1, 5.8S rRNA, ITS2 and 28S rRNA". Lineage: Eukaryota; Fungi. The record is from RNAcentral.